RNAcentral lists this ribosomal RNA (253 nucleotides) under uncultured bacterium. Its description in RNAcentral is "partial 16S ribosomal RNA". It matches the Rfam family "Bacterial small subunit ribosomal RNA", at positions 524 to 776 of the family's 1533-position model. The record is from RNAcentral.
UACGUAGGGUGCAAGCGUUGUCCGGAAUUAUUGGGCGUAAAGAGCUCGUAGGUGGUCUGUUGCGUCGGCUGUGAAAACCCGAGGCUCAACCUCGGGCCUGCAGCCGAUACGGGCAGACUAGAGUUCGGCAGGGGAGACUGGAAUUCCUGGUGUAGCGGUGAAAUGCGCAGAUAUCAGGAGGAACACCGGUGGCGAAGGCGGGUCUCUGGGCCGAUACUGACACUGAGGCGCGACAGCGUGGGGAGCAAACAGG